AUUGAACGCUGGCGGCAGGCUUAACACAUGCAAGUCGAGCGGUAGCACAGGGGAGCUUGCUCCCUGGGUGACGAGCGGCGGACGGGUGAGUAGUGUCUGGGAAACUGCCUGAUGGAGGGGGAUAACUACUGGAAACGGUAGCUAAUACCGCAUAACGUCGCAAGACCAAAGAGGGGGACCUUCGGGCCUCUUGCCAUCAGAUGUGCCCAGAUGGGAUUAGCUAGUAGGUGGGGUAAUGGCUCACCUAGGCGACGAUCCCUAGCUGGUCUGAGAGGAUGACCAGCCACACUGGAACUGAGACACGGUCCAGACUCCUACGGGAGGCAGCAGUGGGGAAUAUUGGACAAUGGGCGCAAGCCUGAUGCAGCCGUGCCGCGUGUGUGAAGAAGGCCUUCGGGUUGUAAAGCACUUUCAGCGAGGAGGAAGGUGGUGAGCUUAAUACGUUCAUCAAUUGACGUUACUCGCAGAAGAAGCACCGGCUAACUACGUG
RNAcentral lists this ribosomal RNA (490 nucleotides) under uncultured bacterium. RNAcentral's name for it is "partial 16S ribosomal RNA". It matches the Rfam family "Bacterial small subunit ribosomal RNA", at positions 30 to 507 of the family's 1533-position model. The record is from RNAcentral.